This is a long non-coding RNA of Notothenia coriiceps (black rockcod), 373 nucleotides long. RefSeq lists it as uncharacterized. NCBI's taxonomy places the organism in Eukaryota, Metazoa, Chordata, Actinopteri, Perciformes, Nototheniidae. The record is from RefSeq and is a predicted model, not a curated record. The transcript is spliced from 2 exons.
ACACACAGAAGGGAAGCAACACGAACACCAGUUGUUGUUAAAAUAUGAAUGUACGUUGUGUUUAGUGUCUGUUACCCUGUCUUCAUAUUUGUCUUCUGUUGAUGUUGCAAAUGGAGCUGCUGUGAAACAGACUAUAACGUGUCGUCUCAUAUCAACGUGUCGUCUCAUAUCAACGUGUCGUCUCAUAUCAACGUGUCGUCUCAUAUCAACGUGUUGUUUCAUAGAAUUAUCGAAUUCAGAGAAAGAGCGGCUAGAGGAGAAACAAAGGGCGUCGCGCAGAGAUCGCUCCGUGGAGGAGGAGGAGUGGAGCACCAGGUGGUUCCAGUUGGGAACGAACCCUCACACGGGAGCGGAGGAUUGGCUCUACUCAGGU